CCUACGGGAGGCUGCAGUGAGGAAUAUUGGUCAAUGGGCGCAAGCCUGAACCAGCCAAGUCGCGUGAGGGAUGACGGUCCUAUGGAUUGUAAACCUCUUUUGUCGGGGAGCAAGGCCCGCCACGUGUGGCGGGAAGGAAAGUACCCGAAGAAAAAGCAUCGGCUAACCCCGGGCCACCAGCGGCGGUAACACGGAGGAUGAGAGCGUUAUCGGGCUUUAUUGGGUUUAAAGGGUGCGUAGGCGGAAGGUUAAGUCAGCGGUAAAAUGUCGGUGGUCAACACCGUCCUGCCGUUGAAACUGGUCUUCUUGAGUGAGCGAGAAGUAUGCGGAAUGCGUGGUGUAGCGGUGAAAUGCAUAGAUAUCACGCAGAACUCCGAUUGCGAAGGCAGCAUACCGGCGCUCAACUGACGCUGAGGCACGAAAGCGUGGGGAUCGAACAGGAUUAGAUACCCGGGUAGUC
Molecule: ribosomal RNA, 460 nt
Filed under: uncultured bacterium
Lineage: Bacteria
Description: partial 16S ribosomal RNA
Rfam family: Bacterial small subunit ribosomal RNA
Source: RNAcentral